AAGUACAUAGCUUUAAUUGUGAGGAUCAUAAUAAUGCUGAGCAAUUAACGGAUUUAAGUGUGUCUAACAAUCAAAGAAUUAUCUCUUAUGAACUCAAAUAGAGUACUGAUGUUUGAGAAAUCUUACCAGGGCAAUUGAAAAGAACACAACGAGAGCAACAGAUGAACGCAUCCUGUCUUUGAAGUUUGAACAGCUCAAAAUGAAAC
RNAcentral lists this long non-coding RNA (206 nucleotides) under Coffea arabica (coffee). RNAcentral describes it as "long non-coding RNA (CARA_LNC006360)". The record is from RNAcentral. Lineage: Eukaryota; Viridiplantae; Streptophyta; Magnoliopsida; Gentianales; Rubiaceae.